This 73-nucleotide transfer RNA is filed under the name Camelus bactrianus (Bactrian camel). It matches the Rfam family "tRNA". From Rfam's summary of the family: Transfer RNA (tRNA) molecules are approximately 80 nucleotides in length. Their secondary structure includes four short double-helical elements and three loops (D, anti-codon, and T loops). Further hydrogen bonds mediate the characteristic L-shaped molecular structure. tRNAs have two regions of fundamental functional importance: the anti-codon, which is responsible for specific mRNA codon recognition, and the 3' end, to which the tRNAs corresponding amino acid is attached (by aminoacyl-tRNA synthetases). tRNAs cope with the degeneracy of the genetic code in two manners: having more than one tRNA (with a specific anti-codon) for a particular amino acid; and 'wobble' base-pairing, i.e. permitting non-standard base-pairing at the 3rd anti-codon position. The record is from Rfam by way of RNAcentral. Lineage: Eukaryota; Metazoa; Chordata; Mammalia; Artiodactyla; Camelidae. RNAcentral also lists the same sequence under 1 other name.
GAGAGUAUAGCUCAAGUGGUAGAGUGCUUGCUUAGCGUGCAUGAGGUCCUGGGUUGAAUCCCCAGUACGUACU